Molecule: ribosomal RNA, 318 nt
Filed under: Klebsiella pneumoniae
Lineage: Bacteria; Pseudomonadati; Pseudomonadota; Gammaproteobacteria; Enterobacterales; Enterobacteriaceae
Description: bacterial SSU rRNA
Rfam family: Bacterial small subunit ribosomal RNA
Source: RNAcentral
CGAACGGGUGAGUAACGCGUAGGUAACCUGCCUGGUAGCGGGGGAUAACUAUUGGAAACGAUAGCUAAUACCGCAUAAGAGUGGAUGUUGCAUGACAUUUGCUUAAAAGGUGCACUUGCAUCACUACCAGAUGGACCUGCGUUGUAUUAGCUAGUUGGUGGGGUAACGGCUCACCAAGGCGACGAUACAUAGCCGACCUGAGAGGGUGAUCGGCCACACUGGGACUGAGACACGGCCCAGACUCCUACGGGAGGCAGCAGUAGGGAAUCUUCGGCAAUGGACGGAAGUCUGACCGAGCAACGCCGCGUGAGUGAAGAA